This 89-nucleotide small nucleolar RNA is filed under the name Daucus carota subsp. sativus. RNAcentral describes it as "sRNA DCAR_sn00257". It matches the Rfam family "Small nucleolar RNA snoR1". From Rfam's summary of the family: snoR1 is a member of the C/D class of snoRNA which contain the C (UGAUGA) and D (CUGA) box motifs. Most of the members of the box C/D family function in directing site-specific 2'-O-methylation of substrate RNAs. Lineage: Eukaryota; Viridiplantae; Streptophyta; Magnoliopsida; Apiales; Apiaceae. The record is from Rfam by way of RNAcentral.
GGCAGAGAUGAUUGAUGCUAUAUUUCUGACACCUCUUGUAUGAGAAAAGUCUUGCUUUUCGUUGAGCACAUUAAGCACCUCUCUGAGCC